Molecule: unclassified non-coding RNA, 281 nt
Filed under: Didymosphaeria variabile
Lineage: Eukaryota; Fungi; Ascomycota; Dothideomycetes; Pleosporales; Didymosphaeriaceae
Description: partial internal transcribed spacer region
Rfam family: Eukaryotic small subunit ribosomal RNA (bases 1-46)
Source: RNAcentral
AAGUCGUAACAAGGUUUCCGUAGGUGAACCUGCGGAAGGAUCAUUAUCUAUUCCAUGAGGUGUGGUCGCGGCCCUCGGCGGGAGCAAAACUGCCACCGGGAGGUAGAGGUAACACUUUCACGCGCCACAUGUCUGAAUCCUUUUUUUACGAGCACCUUUCGUUCUCCUUCGGUGGGGCAACCUGCCGUUGGAACCUAUUAAAAACCUUUUUUUGCAUCUAGCAUUACCUGUUCUGAUACAAACAAUCAUUACAACUUUCAACAAUGGAUCUCUUGGCUCUG